Long non-coding RNA from Symphalangus syndactylus (siamang), 2044 nucleotides. RefSeq lists it as uncharacterized. Lineage: Eukaryota; Metazoa; Chordata; Mammalia; Primates; Hylobatidae. The record is from RefSeq and is a predicted model, not a curated record.
UUCCACGCUGUGGGUGUGUGUUAUUCUUUUGGUGUUUUUGCACUUAAAUCUUGCUGCUGCUCACUGUUUGGGUCCACACUGCUUUCAUGAGCUAUAACACGCAUCACGAACGUCUGCAGCUUUACUCCUGAGCCAGCGAGACCAGGAACCCACCAGAAGAAAGAAACUCCUAACGCAUCCAAACCUCAGAAGGAACAAACUCCAGACACGCUGCCUUUAAGAACUGUAACACUCACCGCAAGGGUCCGUGGCUUCAUUCUGGAAACCAGUGAGAUCAAGAACCCACCAAUUCUGGACACAACACCUCAACAACACGUCACGGGCAGGACCUUCCUGACACCCUUGACUCGGGCCUGGCCUGAGGCAGGCAGAUGCCACUCACCUCCAAGUUCUCCAGAACCUCUGGGGCACCAAAGACCCUGACCUCGGAGCUGGUGUUUGCUCAAAAGGAUUUCAGCCUGGUUGGCAUAGAGACCUGGGCUGAAGGGCACCUCUGGCAAGCUGGCAAGUGACACGGAGUUCAGCCUUGUCCUCACAGUGAGGGAAGGACGGGGAGGUUUGGAGCUGACAGUCAACAAAUGGGUAAUGGGUGGCCAUUAGUGAAGUGGCAGGAAGUGGGGCAGCACACACAGCGCGAGCUGUUUUGUGUAUGAACAGCCAGGCGAUGAUGUCUGAACAUCCUUAAUUUUGCAAACGGCAACAGGGCACGAUGAACCUGGGAACUCACAAAAAUGAUGAGCAUAGAGCUCUGCGGGUUGCGUGUCCUCAAAGUCAAGUCAGUCCAAUGUCUUCAAGGAAAGUGAGUGCCCAGAAUCACAAGGAACGCGGAAACUCAUCAGUUGGAGAUCUGGGUCUGGCUAACAGGGCAACUUCUGGACUUUUCAGAAAAAGUGAGAAUCCGAGAGUUUCAAAGGAUUUAUUUGAUUUCCCCACAUGAUCACAACCAUGGUUUUACAUUGAUAGUCUGUUACCACUGACAAACAGAAUGCAGAUGAAAACGAACGCACUCCUUUCCUCCCAGAGGUACACAGUGGGGGUGCCAGGCUUCUUGUGAGGGAAGUGUCCCUUGAAGUCUCUGAACAGUCUGGGGAUUCAGGACCUGAUUCUAAUUGCUUCAAAUAAUUUGGAGGCAAAAGAUAUCUCCCAAGAGGAGACGCAUGCUGUCUGCCGUCUCAAUGUGACUGCACAUAGAAGGGCGACGCAGAUGCGUCUGAAUGGAGGGCAGGCCUCCUCCCCCUUGUCCUGUGCUCGGCACCCCCACCUCACCCUGCUCAGUGUUGCAAUGCUGCCUUGACUAUUGUUGUUAUAUAAAAUACAAAUGCACUCGUUUCUCAGGCAGGAAGGGUGAUGAUAUUUUACAAGGAGAACUGUAAGACUGUGCGUGCUUACCUGUGGGCACAGAGCUUCCCGUGGAGCUGAGUCAACAUCCAGCAUCAGCUGUGAACAUCUGCUGUCUUUUCAGCUCAUUAAGAAAAACAAGAGGCUCCUGCCGCAUGCAGCGUGUGAGGGAAAGAUCACUCUGCACUGGAUGCUGAAGACAUUUUUAAGCAAGAUGUGCACAUCACAUUAGGAUGAACUUUAUUUUUACAUUGUUGUACAAUUCAUUGGUAAACUUAAAAAAAUACAAAUACAUGAUUUGACUGUUGUCCCAGAAAAGACUUUUGUCACAUUGCCAGCUGUUUCCCUCAGCAUCUCCUGUUCCUGUCAGCAAUUCUGUAUGUAACUGCAAUAAUUUGUGUGACUUGAGAAAGGUAUGCCAAGGGCGUCCUCACAGUGAGAAGGGACCAGGCAGACAUCCUGGGGCUCUCGGCCUCCUCCUGCCUCCCCUCCCGCGGGAUGUGAUGACAGGACCCCAAAGCUAUGGCUGUGACAGGUGCGGACCUAAAGGGGACAGUCCCAUGAAAGACACACGGGGACACCAGCUCACUGGGAGCUUUUGCUUCCCAAACAAGGUGCGGGCAGCAUGACUCCAGCCUCUGGAACCCAACAAUGUAUCUUCGACAAACUUUUGAUAAGCUUGCAAAUAAAACAGGAUGAAACCUUA